UGGGUCUUUUUUUGUGGAUAUUUUGCAGAAGAGAGAUGGCUUUGAAAAGUGGGUGGGAUGCAACUGUGUUUGGUGGGGUGGAAAAGCUGUGUUAAGAAGAAAGGAGGAAGCUAGUUUUUGGAAGCUGUGAGGGUCUCGGGUUUUGCAGGAGAGAGAGAGCUGGGUGAGAGGAAAAAUGUAAUACUGAUACGGGCUGUGUCUUUCUCUGCUGCUGAUAUUUUGAGGCUUUUAGGUGUCUCUCUGCUGGGUUGGAAGGAGGCUCUCUCUUUUGGGGCAGCUGGAGGGUUCAGUUUUUCUUAGCGAGUAUUGAUGGAGGGUUUGGAGAUUUGUUCUUGGACAGCUGACUGUAUGGCUCUGGGGCGGAUUUAGGAAGUGCGUGGAGAUAUCUCUGGGAUUAGUGGGCUUCUUGGGCUGCAACCACUCCUCCACUUUUGAAACCCCUCCAAUUCUCUCCAUUCUGACAUUCUGCCUUUUCACUCUCGAGAACAAGAGAAGACUGAAGCUCUCUCCCCUUUUGUACUGCGUCAGGCAUCAAGAAGCCCUUCUGCCACUCUCAAUCCUCGCAGUCCGUGGGGUGCUUUGUCUGGUCAAGGGCACCUAGAGUUGUUCUCUUACAUUAAAGGCCUCCCCUGCUUCAAAUCCAAUCAGUAGAUGUUUUCAUCAUCCUUGAUGAACUCAUGUUAAUACAAUGACCCCUAUUCCAUCCAUAUUUCAUAUUUCUUGGAGCAAAUGCUUCUACUUUUAUGUAGGCUUUUCAGAUUUCAUAAGCAAAUGUGAGACUCACUUAGGUAGUAAAAAUGAGAGUUAAGAGUUAUAGUGGAGGCAUAAAAGCAUCGCCUUAGUAUUGUCAAAACACUUAUUGGUGAUCCAAAGUUAGAUCAUUUUAGAUGAAUUAGUAUGCAGAUUAAGACUUCUUCUUGUGCAAGUUUCUAUAUUUUAUUUGUUUUAUAAUUUAUAUAGAAUUUCUUUUGAUUUUUAGAUAAUUGAUAUGGACCCAAUAACAAGAAAGCAUGUGUGGGACAUGAUAGAGAAUGCAAAUAAAAGGUUGCUAUUGAGUGUGAU
Long non-coding RNA from Vitis riparia (riverbank grape), 1062 nucleotides. RefSeq lists it as uncharacterized. The record is from RefSeq and is a predicted model, not a curated record. NCBI's taxonomy places the organism in Eukaryota, Viridiplantae, Streptophyta, Magnoliopsida, Vitales, Vitaceae. The transcript has 3 exons.